RNAcentral lists this ribosomal RNA (460 nucleotides) under uncultured bacterium. RNAcentral's name for it is "partial 16S ribosomal RNA". It matches the Rfam family "Bacterial small subunit ribosomal RNA", at positions 338 to 795 of the family's 1533-position model. The record is from RNAcentral.
CCUACGGGUGGCAGCAGUGAGGAAUAUUGGUCAAUGGACGAGAGCCUGAACCAGCCAAGUAGCGUGAAGGAUGACUGCCCUAUGGGUUGUAAACUUCUUUUAUAUGGGAAUAAAAUGUUCCACGUGUGGGAUUUUGUAUGUACCAUAUGAAUAAGGAUCGGCUAACUCCGUGCCAGCAGCCGCGGUAAUACGGAGGAUCCGAGCGUUAUCCGGAUUUAUUGGGUUUAAAGGGAGCGUAGGUGGAUUGUUAAGUCAGUUGUGAAAUUUUGCGGCUCAACCGUAAAAGUGCAGUUGAAACUGGCAGUCUUGAGUGCGGGAGAGGUAGGCGGAAUUCGUGGUGUAGCGGUGAAAUGCUUAGAUAUCACGAAGAACUCCGAUUGCGAAGGCAGCUCACUGGACUGCAACUGACACUGAGGCUCGAAAGUGUGGGUAUCAAACAGGAUUAGAUACCCCUGUAGUC